This is an unclassified non-coding RNA of Microcebus murinus (gray mouse lemur), 104 nucleotides long. It matches the Rfam family "Y RNA". Rfam says of the family: Y RNAs are components of the Ro ribonucleoprotein particle (Ro RNP), in association with Ro60 and La proteins. The Y RNAs and Ro60 and La proteins are well conserved, but the function of the Ro RNP is not known. The record is from Ensembl. Lineage: Eukaryota; Metazoa; Chordata; Mammalia; Primates; Cheirogaleidae.
GGCUGAUCAGAGAGGAGAGUGGUGUUUACAACUAAUUAAUCACAACCAGUUACAGAUUUCUUUGUUCCCCUACCACUCCCACUGCUUUACUUGACUAGCCUAAA